UACGUAGGGGGCAAGCGUUGUCCGGAUUUAUUGGGCGUAAAGAGCGUGUAGGCGGCUGGGUAGGUCCGUUGUGAAAACUCGAGGCUCAACCUCGAGACGCCGAUGGAAACCCCCAGCUAGAGUCCGGAAGAGGAGAGUGGAAUUCCUGGUGUAGCGGUGAAAUGCGCAGAUAUCAGGAAGAACACCCGUGGCUAAGGCGGCUCUCUAGUACGGUACUGACGCUGAGACGCGAAAGCGUGGGAGCGAACAGG
This 251-nucleotide ribosomal RNA is filed under the name uncultured bacterium. Its description in RNAcentral is "partial 16S ribosomal RNA". It matches the Rfam family "Bacterial small subunit ribosomal RNA", at positions 524 to 776 of the family's 1533-position model. The record is from RNAcentral.